CAGUAGCCACGGUAAUACGAAGGGUGCAAGCGUUACUCGGAAUUACUGGGCGUAAAGCGUGCGUAGGUGGUGGUUUAAGUCCGUUGUGAAAGCCCUGGGCUCAACCUGGGAAUUGCAGUGGAUACUGGGUCACUAGAGUGUGGUAGAGGAUAGUGGAAUUUCCGGUGUAGCAGUGAAAUGCGUAGAGAUCGGAAGGAACAUCUGUGGCGAAGGCGACUAUCUGGGCCAACACUGACACUGAGGCACGAAAGCGUGGGGAGCAAACAGGAUUAGAUACCCCGUAGUCCCUGUCUCUUAUACC
This 301-nucleotide ribosomal RNA is filed under the name uncultured bacterium. Its description in RNAcentral is "partial 16S ribosomal RNA". It matches the Rfam family "Bacterial small subunit ribosomal RNA", at positions 509 to 808 of the family's 1533-position model. The record is from RNAcentral.